AUACGAUGAAGAGUUUGAUCCUGGCUCAGGAUGAACGCUAGCGGCAGGCUUAACACAUGCAAGUCGAGGGGUAGAAGUCUU
Molecule: ribosomal RNA, 81 nt
Filed under: Flavobacterium sp. 245
Lineage: Bacteria; Pseudomonadati; Bacteroidota; Flavobacteriia; Flavobacteriales; Flavobacteriaceae
Description: partial 16S ribosomal RNA
Rfam family: Bacterial small subunit ribosomal RNA
Source: RNAcentral